Molecule: long non-coding RNA, 488 nt
Filed under: Mytilus galloprovincialis (Mediterranean mussel)
Lineage: Eukaryota; Metazoa; Mollusca; Bivalvia; Mytilida; Mytilidae
Source: RNAcentral
GCAGGCAUAACCUGUGAAUGGGGACGAAGUGUGUAUGUAUUAUUUUUUUAAUUCAAUCACGUUGAUAAAAGAAACCGAAAUACCGUACGUAACGUUCCCGAUUUUGAUUGUGUUGUUAGGGAAUAUUAGCUGUGACGUUCUUUAAGUUAUGACGUCAUAUUCGAUGUAAACAAAAGAAACGCUUUCAUCAGGUAACGUUUUUUCAUAUCAAACAAUUAUUAAAAUUGAAUUUGUAUUGAGAUCCAAUCUUAUAUUUUACUAGACUGAUAAAUAUAAAUUUUUUCAAAGUCUCAUGCAAACAAGACAUAUAUCUGCGCAAAAGCGGAGAAAACCGGAACAGGAAGUAGAUCUGAAAAAAAAAGUUAACGAUUUUGAGUUCAUUGGUAGAAUGAAAAAUUCCGGAAAUUUUCCCGAUUUUUUUUUUUUUUUUUUUUUUUUUUUUUUUAUUGAUUUUUCUACCGUAAUUGGGGACUUCGCCCCCAUAUUAC